CAAUAGCGUAUAUUAAAGUUGUUGCGGUUAAAAGCUCGUAGUUGGAUUUCUGCCGAGGACGUCCGGUCCGCCCUCUGGGUGAGUACAUGGCACGGCCUGGGCAUCUUCUUGGGGAACGUAUCUGCACUUGACUGUGUGGUGCGGUAUCCAGGACUUUUACUUUGAGGAAAUUAGAGUGUUUCAAGCAGGCACACGCCUUGAAUACAUUAGCAUGGAAUAAUGGAAUAGGACUUUGGUCCCAUUUUGUUGGUUUCUAGGGCCGAAGUAAUGAUUAAGAGGGACAAUUGGGGGGCAUCCGUAUUUCGUUGUCAGAGGUGAAAUUCUUGGAUUUACGAAAGACGAACAACUGCGAAAGCACUUGCCAAGAGUGUUUUCAUUAAUCAAGAACGAAAGUUAGAGGAUCGAAGACGAUCAGAU
RNAcentral lists this ribosomal RNA (417 nucleotides) under uncultured eukaryote. Its description in RNAcentral is "SSU rRNA". It matches the Rfam family "Eukaryotic small subunit ribosomal RNA", at positions 592 to 1013 of the family's 1831-position model. The record is from RNAcentral.